UACGAGGGGGGCAAGCGUUGUUCGGAAUUAUUGGGCGUAAAGGGUGCGUAGGCGGUGCGGUAAGUCUGUUGUGAAAUCUCCGGGCUCAACUCGGAGUCUGCAUCAGAAACUGCCGUGCUGGAGUGUGGGAGAGGUGAGUGGAAUUCCCGGUGUAGCGGUGAAAUGCGUAGAGAUCGGGAGGAACACCUGCGGCGAAAAGCGGGCUC
Molecule: ribosomal RNA, 206 nt
Filed under: uncultured bacterium
Lineage: Bacteria
Description: partial 16S ribosomal RNA
Rfam family: Bacterial small subunit ribosomal RNA
Source: RNAcentral